Molecule: transfer RNA, 60 nt
Filed under: Tachaea chinensis
Lineage: Eukaryota; Metazoa; Arthropoda; Malacostraca; Isopoda; Corallanidae
Description: tRNA-Phe
Source: RNAcentral
UUACAUAAAGUUUUUAUGAACAUAAUAUUGAAGAUAUUAAAGAGAUUAAUUCUACAAGGA